This 354-nucleotide transfer-messenger RNA is filed under the name Rickettsiales bacterium. It matches the Rfam family "Alphaproteobacteria transfer-messenger RNA". Rfam says of the family: Bacterial tmRNA, also known as 10Sa RNA or SsrA, is named for its dual tRNA and mRNA-like properties. Its role is to liberate the mRNA from a stalled ribosome. To accomplish this part of the tmRNA is used as a reading frame that ends in a translation stop signal. The record is from RNAcentral. Lineage: Bacteria; Pseudomonadati; Pseudomonadota; Alphaproteobacteria; Rickettsiales.
CCGCUUGAUUUCUUUACUUUUUUAACUAUAAUUAUUAUGUCCCUUUUGGGAAGAUGAUUCUGAAUCCUCUAUAAAAUAGGCUUCUUGGACUGGGGGGCGGUACCCCACAGCUCCACCAAUAAAAAAUAUGGGGCUGACAUAGAUUCGACAACUGCAUUAAAAAUAGUCGGGUGAAUUCGGCGUUGCUGCCGCAAAAAGCUGAAAAACUAUGAAUGGCGAUACUUUCGCUGCGAACGACAAUGUUCGCUAUGCAAUGGCUGCCUAAGGGCGCGGGCCCAAUGCCGGCAAUUGUUGGCCGGGCCCACCGUUAUUGCGGCGCUUUCCCGUGUGCGUGUCACCAGAAACACGGGGACU